This 486-nucleotide ribosomal RNA is filed under the name uncultured bacterium. RNAcentral describes it as "partial 16S ribosomal RNA". It matches the Rfam family "Bacterial small subunit ribosomal RNA", at positions 30 to 507 of the family's 1533-position model. The record is from RNAcentral.
AUUGAACGCUGGCGGCAUGCCUUACACAUGCAAGUCGAACGGCAGCACGGGUGCUUGCACCUGGUGGCGAGUGGCGCACGGGUGAGUAAUACAUCGGAACAUGUCCUGUAGUGGGGGAUAGCCCGGCGAAAGCCGGAUUAAUACCGCAUACGAUCCACGGAUGAAAGCGGGGGUCCUUCGGGCCUCGCGCUAUAGGGUUGGCCGAUGGCUGAUUAGCUAGUUGGUGGGGUAAAGGCCUACCAAGGCGACGAUCAGUAGCUGGUCUGAGAGGACGACCAGCCACACUGGGACUGAGACACGGCCCAGACUCCUACGGGAGGCAGCAGUGGGGAAUUUUGGACAAUGGGCGAAAGCCUGAUCCAGCAAUGCCGCGUGUGUGAAGAAGGCCUUCGGGUUGUAAAGCACUUUUGUCCGGAAAGAAAUCCUUGACUCUAAUACAGUCGGGGGAUGACGGUACCGGAAGAAUAAGCACCGGCUAACUACGUG